AUUGAACGCUGGCGGCAGGCCUAACACAUGCAAGUCGAACGGUAACAGGAAGCAGCUUGCUGCUUUGCUUUCGAGUGGCGGGCGUGUGUGUAAUGUCUGGGAAACUGCCUGAUGGAGGGGGAUAACUACUGGAAACGGUAGCUAAUACCGCAUAACGUCUCAAGACCAAAGAGGGGGACUGUCGGGCCUCUUGCCAUCGGAUGUGACCAGAUGGGAUUAGCUAGUAGGUGGGGUAACGGCUCACCUAGGCGACGAUCCCUAGCUGGUCUGAGAGGAUGACCAGCCACACUGGAACUGAGACACGGUCCAGACUCCUACGGGAGGCAGCAGUGGGGAAUAUUGCACAAUGGGCGAAAGCCUGAUGCAGCCAUGCCGCGUGUAUGAAGAAGGCCUUCGGGUUGUAAAGUACUUUCAGCGGGGAGGAAGGGAGUAAAGUUAAUCCCUUUGCUCAUUGACGUUACCCGCAGAAGAAGCACCGGCUAACUCCGUG
Molecule: ribosomal RNA, 490 nt
Filed under: uncultured bacterium
Lineage: Bacteria
Description: partial 16S ribosomal RNA
Rfam family: Bacterial small subunit ribosomal RNA
Source: RNAcentral